UCUCACAUCGUCGACGACAGGGCCCGGUCUCUUUUCAGUGAUGAGAACCCAAACGCCUGCUCCAUUAUGUGAAGAUAUAUUGUGAAAAAAAAAUGUGUACCUAUAAAUACUGUAAUUAGCUGGAGGACUGGGCCGUUUGCCUAGUCUUUUUGGUUUUUGGGUUUCCGUAGUAAAGGGUGUACGUAGAGAAGUGAGUUUUGGGGGGUUCUAUAUUUUCAUAGAAG
This 224-nucleotide long non-coding RNA is filed under the name Phoenix dactylifera (date palm). RNAcentral describes it as "long non-coding RNA (PDAC_LNC000010)". Lineage: Eukaryota; Viridiplantae; Streptophyta; Magnoliopsida; Arecales; Arecaceae. The record is from RNAcentral.